CGGUUAGACUAAAAGGCCUAGUUAUAUUGUUAAGGUAAAAAGGUGGUUAAAUAUUUAAUUAGCAGUGGUUUUAUAAUUUACUAUAAAAAAGUGAAAUUUGAAUAUAGAUAAAUAAAUCAAAAAUAACCAAAAUGUGUUGAACCCACUAUAGCUUUGAGGGAAACUGGGAUUUGAUACCCCACUAUUCUUAGUUGUAAAUAAAUAUUAGGUUUACCAGAGCACUAUGAAUAUUAAAAUUUAAAACUCAAAGAGCUUGGCGGUGUUUUAGACUACUUAGGGGAACCUGUCUCGUAAUCGAUAAUCCACGUUAUACCUUACCUUUUAUUGAAAUCAGUUUGUACACCGUUGUCAUCAGGUAACUUUUUAGAAAAAUUAAGUUAGCAAUAAAAUUUAUAAUAAAUUUAAAUGUCAAAUCAAGGUGCAGCUAAUGAAAAGGAGAGGAUGGGUUACAAUUAAAAUUUAUAAAAUGGAUCGAGCAAUGCAAUUUGCUCGUAAAAGAGGACUUAAAAGUAAUGCUAUAUAUAAAAAUAGUUUGAAUAAGGCUCUGAAAUGUGUACAAACCGCCC
This 566-nucleotide ribosomal RNA is filed under the name Merica boucheti. RNAcentral describes it as "Cancellaria boucheti partial 12S ribosomal RNA". The stretch from base 217 to 566 matches the Rfam family "Microsporidia small subunit ribosomal RNA", at positions 752 to 1197 of the family's 1311-position model. The record is from RNAcentral. Lineage: Eukaryota; Metazoa; Mollusca; Gastropoda; Neogastropoda; Cancellariidae.